UCUUAUCAAGAGAGGUGGAGGGACUGGCCCUAUGAAACCCAGCAACCAACUUAGAGUGGUUAAUAUAUAUAGUAAAACAAUUUUAUUUAUAUAUCUUGUUUUAUUAAAUAUUUAUUUAUCUAAGAACUGGUGCUAAUUCCAGCCGUAUAUUUUAUGGAGAGAUAAGA
This 167-nucleotide non-coding RNA is filed under the name Clostridium mediterraneense. RNAcentral's name for it is "SAM riboswitch (S box leader)". It matches the Rfam family "SAM riboswitch aptamer (S box leader)". Rfam says of the family: The SAM riboswitch is found upstream of a number of genes which code for proteins involved in methionine or cysteine biosynthesis in Gram-positive bacteria. The SAM riboswitch acts at the level of transcription termination control. The predicted structure consists of a complex stem-loop region followed by a single stem loop terminator region. Lineage: Bacteria; Bacillati; Bacillota; Clostridia; Eubacteriales; Clostridiaceae. The record is from RNAcentral.